RNAcentral lists this ribosomal RNA (277 nucleotides) under uncultured bacterium. RNAcentral describes it as "partial 16S ribosomal RNA". It matches the Rfam family "Bacterial small subunit ribosomal RNA", at positions 523 to 794 of the family's 1533-position model. The record is from RNAcentral.
UACCGUAGAGUGCAAGUCGUUUGGUCCGGAAUUAUUGGGCGUAAAGGGUACGCAGGCGGAUAGUAAAGUCAAAGCGUGAAAGGUGUCGGCUUAACCGACAGACUGCGUUUGAAACUGAUUAUCUUGAGGUGUAACAGAGGAGAGUGGAAUUCCUAGUGUAGUGGUGAAAUACGUAGAUAUUAGGAAGAACACCAGUGGCGAAGGCGACUCUCUGGGUUAACACUGACGCUGAGGUACGAAAGCUGGGGGAGCAAACGGGAUUAGAUACCCGGGUAGU